Hevea brasiliensis (rubber tree) is the source of this 1090-nucleotide RNA transcript. It is a transcript of the gene named probable ubiquitin-conjugating enzyme E2 16, with no coding region annotated. The transcript has 6 exons. Lineage: Eukaryota; Viridiplantae; Streptophyta; Magnoliopsida; Malpighiales; Euphorbiaceae. The record is from RefSeq and is a predicted model, not a curated record.
GUGCAAUUCCCUUGAAAAAAAGGGGAUGUGGGCAUCUGUGUAUGCAGUGUGAAACAAAGAGAAGGUCACGCACUCACAAACGGUUGCUGGUUCUCUUUGUCCCUUUCAUCAACCACCUCCAUCACUCUCUCUCCCCUUAUCGCCGCCAUUGUCAUAGAGAUUCAAAGCAUGACCAGCUCCUCCGCCACCGCCCGCAAGGCUCUGAGUAAGAUUGCUUGCAAUCGCCUCCAGAAAGAACUGGUAGAGUGGCAGGUCAACCCUCCUGCUGGCUUCAAACACAAAGCCACUGAUAAUCUCCAAAGGUGGGUAAUUGAAGUAAACGGAGCUCCGGGAACACUCUACGCUAAUGAGACCUACCAACUUCAAGUUGACUUUCCAGAGCAUUACCCUAUGGAAGCUCCUCAGGUUAUUUUUCUUCAUCCGGCUCCUCUGCACCCACAUAUUUAUAGCAACGGCCAUAUUUGUUUAGAUAUAUUAUAUGAUUCAUGGUCCCCUGCCAUGACUGUUAGUUCUGUCUGUAUCAGCAUUCUCUCAAUGCUUUCAAGCUCAACUGUGAAGGUCUGAUCUCAUUGUCAAUUUGAUAUUUAUAUUCUUAGCUACCUUUCAAGUGAAAAUAGGGCAUAUGUUCAUCAUGCUGCAGUUACCAUUGCCCUUUUGUAAAUCAACGCCCUGAAGACAAUGAUCGCUAUGUAAAGAAUUGUAGAAAUGGCAGAUCUCCGAAGGAGACUAGGUGGUGGUUCCAUGAUGAUAAAGUGUAAUAACAGAGGUGUCUCCAAGUGUAAUAACGGAGGUGUCUCCCUGCACAUUAGUUCAAAUAAUUUUAGUAGAUGGCCUUUUUUUUGCAAAGGACACUGAAAACACAAGGCGAAGCAUUGUGCAAACAAACUCAUUCUGAAUGUGCAUUACCUUCUGUAAGUGGGAAUGCCUAAUGUGUAAAGGAAGAGGAAUAAUGUGUUUUUAGUAACAAAUGACGAACAAACUUGGUUCUCUGGUUACUUUGCAAUUUAGAUGAUUGGUGCUUUGUAAGACUGCAAAUGAUUGAAACAUUUAAAUCCUCUUGUAAUAAUUUUCAAUCGCCUUUUUAUCUUUA